GACGAACGCUGGCGGCGUGCUUAACACAUGCAAGUCGAACGGUAAGGCCCUUCGGGGUACACGAGUGGCGAACGGGUGAGUAACACGUGGGUGAUCUGCCCUGCACUUCGGGAUAAGCCUGGGAAACUGGGUCUAAUACCGGAUAGGACCACUGCCUGCAUGGGUGGUGGUGGAAAGCUUUUGCGGUGUGGGAUGGGCCCGCGGCCUAUCAGCUUGUUGGUGGGGUGAUGGCCUACCAAGGCGACGACGGGUAGCCGGCCUGAGAGGGUGACCGGCCACACUGGGACUGGGGUACGGCCCAGACUCCUACGGGAGGCAGCAGUGGGGAAUAUUGCACAAUGGGCGCAAGCCUGAUGCAGCGACGCCGCGUGAGGGAUGACGGCCUUCGGGUUGUAAACCUCUUUCAGCACCGACGAAGCGCAAGUGACGGUAGGUGCAGAAGAAGGACCGGCCAACUACGCGCCAGCAGCCGCCGUAA
Molecule: ribosomal RNA, 478 nt
Filed under: uncultured bacterium
Lineage: Bacteria
Description: partial 16S ribosomal RNA
Rfam family: Bacterial small subunit ribosomal RNA
Source: RNAcentral